UACGUAGGGGGCAAGCGUUGUCCGGAUUUAUUGGGCGUAAAGAGCGUGUAGGCGGCUUGGCAAGUUCGCUGUGAAAACUCGAGGCUCAACCUCGAGACGUCGGUGGAAACUGCCUCGCUAGAGUCCGGAAGAGGAGAGUGGAAUUCCUGGUGUAGCGGUGAAAUGCGCAGAUAUCAGGAGGAACACCAAUAGCGAAGGCAGCUCGCUGGGACGUUACUGACACUGAGGCGCGAAAGCGUGGGGAGCGAACAGG
This 253-nucleotide ribosomal RNA is filed under the name uncultured bacterium. RNAcentral describes it as "partial 16S ribosomal RNA". It matches the Rfam family "Bacterial small subunit ribosomal RNA", at positions 524 to 776 of the family's 1533-position model. The record is from RNAcentral.